CAUGAGAUACUUUAUAAAAAGAUUAGGUCUUUUAAACCUAAAAUAGUAGCAUCUACUUCUUAUGG
This 65-nucleotide transfer RNA is filed under the name Euastacus spinifer. RNAcentral's name for it is "tRNA-Lys". The record is from RNAcentral. RNAcentral also lists the same sequence under 1 other name. Lineage: Eukaryota; Metazoa; Arthropoda; Malacostraca; Decapoda; Parastacidae.